This is a small nucleolar RNA of Tupaia belangeri (northern tree shrew), 115 nucleotides long. NCBI's taxonomy places the organism in Eukaryota, Metazoa, Chordata, Mammalia, Scandentia, Tupaiidae. The record is from Ensembl.
UGUGCUUGUUUGUUUAUCUGGUGAAAAAGGACUUAACAGGUGCAAAAGAUAAUUCCUCUUUACAACACAGAGCUCGUUGUUCAAUAUGAGUUUGAUACAUAAAAGAAGGAGUAUU